UAACAGUUGGAAACGACUGCUAAGACUGGAUAGGAGACAAGAAGGCAUCUUCUUGUUUUUAAAAGACCUAGCAAUAGGUAUGCUUAGGGAGGAGCUUGCGUCACAUUAGUUAGUUGGGGGGGUAAAGGCCUACCAAGACUAUGAUGUGUAGCCGGGCUGAGAGGUUGAACGGCCACAUUGGGACUGAGACACGGCCCAAACUCCUACGGGAGGCAGCAGUAGGGAAUUUUCGGCAAUGGAGGAAACUCUGACCGAGCAACGCCGCGUGAACGAUGAAGUAUUUCGGUACGUAAAGUUCUUUUAUUAGGGAAGAAUAAAUGAUGGAAAAAUCAUUCUGACGGUACCUAAUGAAUAAGCCCCGGCUAACUAUGUGCCAGCAGCCGCGGUAAUACAUAGGGGGCAAGCGUUAUCCGGAAUUAUUGGGCGUAAAGGGUGCGUAGGCGGUUAAAUAAGUUUAUGGUCUAAGUGCAAUGCUCAACAUUGUGAUGCUAUAAAAACUGUUUAGCUAGAGUAAGAUAGAGGCAAGUGGAAUUCCAUGUGUAGUGGUAAAAUGCGUAAAUAUAUGGAGGAACACCAGUAGCGAAGGCGGCUUGCUGGGUCUUUACUGACGCUGAGGCACGAAAGCGUGGGGAGCAAACAGGAUUAGAUACCCUGGUAGUCCACGCCGUAAACGAUGAGUACUAAACGUUGGGUAAAACCAGUGUUGAAGUUAACACAUUAAGUACUCCGCCUGAGUAGUACGUACGCAAGUAUGAAACUUAAAGGAAUUGACGGGACUCCGCACAAGCGGUGGAUCAUGUUGUUUAAUUCGAAGGUACCCGAAAAACCUCACCAGGUCUUGACAUGCUUCUGCAAAGCUGUAGAAACACAGUGGAGGUUAUCAGUUGCACAGGUGGUGCAUGGUUGUCGUCAGCUCGUGUCGUGAGAUGUUGGGUUAAGUCCCGCAACGAGCGCAACCCUUAUUGUUAGUUACCAGCACGUAAUGGUGGGGACUUUAGCAAGACUGCCAGUGAUAAAUUGGAGGAAGGUGGGGACGACGUCAAAUCAUCAUGCCCCUUAUGACCUGGGCUACAAACGUGAUACAAUGGCUGUUACAAAGGGUAGCUGAAGCGCAAGUUUUUGGCGAAUCUCAAAAAAACAGUCUCAGUUCGGAUUGAAGUCUGCAACUCGACUUCAUGAAGUUGGAAUCGCUAGUAAUCGCGAAUCAGCAUGUCGCGGUGAAUACGUUCUCGGGGUUUGUACACACCGCCCGUCAAACC
Molecule: ribosomal RNA, 1259 nt
Filed under: Sugarcane yellow leaf disease phytoplasma
Lineage: Bacteria; Bacillati; Mycoplasmatota; Mollicutes; Acholeplasmatales; Acholeplasmataceae
Description: bacterial SSU rRNA
Rfam family: Bacterial small subunit ribosomal RNA
Source: RNAcentral